GGCUUGAGUGCCAGAGGCCAAAGCACCAGCAUUCAAGCGAUGAGAUUGAGGUCCUGUCCACUGGGACUCCCCUUCAGCAGGAAAGCCCGGAACUCUACAGAAAAGGAACGACACUUUCGGACCUCACGCCGGACGACAGCCCUCUCCAAAGCUUUCCUGCCAGCCCCUCCUCAUCCCCGCCUCUGGGCCCUUCCUGUCGGAACAAGAACGCCCACUUCACCAGACAGGUCUCUGUGGACGAGGAGCGGGGUGGGGAGAUCCAGAUGCUGUUGGAAGGACGCGGUAGGGAGUUCAUGAGGCCUAACAGCUGGGGCGAAGACAAGGAGGGUGGGCCUCACGGGAUAAGAGGCGGGGUCUUGCGCAGCGGCCAACUGGAAGACCCUCGAGGCCGGAGUGGUGGUGGUGGUGGGCCCAAGCAUGGUACCGCCAAUCACAAACCGCGGGAGCGGUGGGCCGACCCUCCGACCAUGGUUUCGUGGACUUAUCACCGCCCGCACCACCACGGCUCGGGGAGCAACAAGCUCUCGGAGCUGGACGAGGAGAAGCUGAGCAAUUACGAGAUGGAGAUGAAGCCCCUCAUGAGGAUGGACUCUUACAUGCAGGAGAUGCAGUCCCAAAAAAGGCAUCACGGCAAAAUGGGCCUGAGCAAGAACCUGGCUGAAGAACAGCACCCUGGGGAAGAGUGGGCCUUUGGCGUCCAGAGGCUGAGGUCAUCCUCCCAGAACAAGGAGAACUUCCGGCCGGCAUCUUCUGGUGAGCCAGCAGUGCAGAAACUAGAGAGCCUGAGGUUCGGGGAUAAAGGUGAACCCCGGCUGUUGAGGUGGGACUUAACUUGCUCUCCACCACAGAAAUCCUUACCUGUUGCACUAGAAUCAGAGGAGGAAAAUGGAGAUGAGCUCAAAUCCAGCGCGGGUUCAGCUCCCAUCCUAGUCGUCAUGGUGAUCUUGUUAAACAUUGGAGUCGCCAUUUUGUUUAUUAACUUUUUCAUCUAAACCGAGACUGUCUUGUUUGCAAAACUCCAACCGGUUAAUAAUUAAUAAAAACAACAACCACAAAAAUCAAACCCCGCCCCCAAGCGGUCUGAAAAUGGGGAUAAUGCUGCGAGGGACCCAACGGGAGAACGAUGUCGUCGUUUUGAACUGUCCCGCGACAACUUUCAAGUCUUUUCACAGAAGAUCCACCACCACCGAUUGAGUCUCACUCACAGUUUGCCUUUCUCCCCCCACCCCACCCCGUCCCCUUCCUAGGUAAUGUUUUUGGAUUCCAGCCCAGAAUUCUUUGCUUGCACAAUCCUUUUGCUGUGUGGCAUGGCAGAAUGGUAGCAGCAGCAUUUCCGCCCCUCCCAACACCAGACAGGACGGAAACCGUUCCUCCGAGUGGAUUUAGCCAGGUCUAGGAAAGUGGUUUCAUGUGAAUUGCCUCCAUCUUCAGACGUUUAAUUCACGGCAACCUUCGGAGCGAUGCGGCGGUCCUGGCAUUGCUUGGUGAUAUGCACGGUGGGGGGGCCUUUGAGAAGAUCCCAGGGCGAUCCCGGUGUUCGCAUUGAGCUGGGAAAGUCUGCGUGGCCAAAACAGAGAACGGUCCGAGCCAAAUGGCACUCAAGGGGUGAUGUGGAUGGUCGAGAACCAUUUCUUGAAUCAUUUAAACAGCCAUAUCCAGCACAAAAGUCUUAAGCCCUUCCCUCUCCUCAUCCAAAGUAUUUUUUUCCCCCACCCAAUGAGUUAAAAACCAUUCGUUGUCCCAGGCGACAAUAGAAAAUUAUUCUAUUUAUUUGCAAAUUUUAUUGGCCAUCCGUCGUACCAAAGUUUUGCAUAAAGUCACCUGCAGGAUGCUGAGGCUCAGGUGUUUAAAAUAAACUCCAGAAAGGUUUUGUUUUGUUGUGAAAGAUGACCAAGGUUUGUCCAGGAAACGCCUCCUCCAGAAUUGCCAAGGAGUCGGCCCCUCUCUAUGGGGGAACAAUGCUUGAAUGUUUCCCCCCCCCUCUCCCCUCCUCCCAAGAGCCACCGUGGCACCGCGAGGAACGGGGCGCGACGGGCAUCCCUUCUUCCAUCUUGCCAUGAGCCAUUUCCAGAUGUCCCGCUUGGCCUCGGAGCAUGUAAUAGUUUUGCAUUUUGUCUGCAGGAUGUAUAUUCCAGCUUCCGACAUAACCCCUGAACAAAAAAAAACAAAAAAAAAAACAACACAACCAAAACCAAAACUAGAGAACAACAACAACAACAACGAAAACAUUGUCAACAACAGCCUCUGAGUAUGUAAUGCUCUUUUUA
This is a non-coding RNA of Thamnophis sirtalis, 2267 nucleotides long. NCBI's taxonomy places the organism in Eukaryota, Metazoa, Chordata, Lepidosauria, Squamata, Natricidae. The record is from RefSeq and is a predicted model, not a curated record.